ACGUAGGAGGCGAGCGUUAUCCGGAUUUACUGGGUGUAAAGCGCGUGUAGGCGGUCCUGCAAGUGGCGCGUGAAAGCGCCCGGCUCAACCGGGCGAGGACGUGACCGAACUGCGGGGCUAGAGGCAGGUAGAGGCGUGUGGAAUUCCGGGUGUAGUGGUGAAAUGCGUAGAGAUCCGGAGGAACACCAGUGGCGAAGGCGACACGCUGGGCCUGACCUGACGCUGAGAGGCGAAAGCAUGUGGAGCGAACGGGAUUAGAUACCCCCGUAGU
RNAcentral lists this ribosomal RNA (271 nucleotides) under uncultured prokaryote. Its description in RNAcentral is "partial 16S ribosomal RNA". It matches the Rfam family "Bacterial small subunit ribosomal RNA", at positions 525 to 794 of the family's 1533-position model. The record is from RNAcentral.